RNAcentral lists this ribosomal RNA (253 nucleotides) under uncultured bacterium. RNAcentral describes it as "partial 16S ribosomal RNA". It matches the Rfam family "Bacterial small subunit ribosomal RNA", at positions 795 to 1052 of the family's 1533-position model. The record is from RNAcentral.
CCACGCCGUAAACGAUGAGUGCUAGGUGUCGGGAGUCAAAUCUCGGUGCCGCAGUUAACGCAAUAAGCACUCCGCCUGGGGAGUACGUACGCAAGUAUGAAACUCAAAGGAAUUGACGGGGACCCGCACAAGCAGCGGAGCAUGUGGUUUAAUUCGAAGCAACGCGAAGAACCUUACCAGGGCUUGACAUCUCCUGACAGCUGUAGAGAUACAGUGUCCCUUCGGGGCAGGAAGACAGGUGGUGCAUGGUUGU